CCAGACUCCUACGGGAGGCAGCAGUGGGGGAUAUUGCACAAUGGGGGGAACCCUGAUGCAGCGACGCCGCGUGGGUGAAGGAGCGUUUCGGCGCGUAAAGCCCUAUCGGCAGGGAAGAAGGAGGACGGUACCUGACUAAGAAGCCCCGGCUAACUACGUGCCAGCAGCCGCGGUAAUACGUAGGGGGCAAGCGUUAUCCGGAUUUACUGGGUGUAAAGGGGGCGCAGACGGCAGCGCAAGCCAGGAGUGAAAGCCCGGGGCCCAACCCCGGGACUGCUCUUGGAACUGCGCGGCUGGAGUGCAGGAGGGGCAGGCGGAAUUCCUGGUGUAGCGGUGAAAUGCAUAGAUAUCACACAGAACACCGAUUGCGAAGGCAUCUGACGAAUCGGAGAUUGACGCUGAUGCACGAAAGCGUGGGUAUCGAACAGGAUUAGAUACCCCCGUA
This 445-nucleotide ribosomal RNA is filed under the name uncultured bacterium. Its description in RNAcentral is "partial 16S ribosomal RNA". It matches the Rfam family "Bacterial small subunit ribosomal RNA", at positions 331 to 792 of the family's 1533-position model. The record is from RNAcentral.